CAGCAGCCGCGGGAAUACCGAGGGUGCGAGCGUUAAUCGGAUUUACUGGGCGUAAAGCGUGCGUAGGCGGCUUUUUAAGUCGGAUGUGAAAUCCCUGAGCUUAACUUAGGAAUUGCAUUCGAUACUGGGAAGCUAGAGUAUGGGAGAGGAUGGUAGAAUUCCAGGUGUAGCGGUGAAAUGCGUAGAGAUCUGGAGGAAUACCGAUGGCGAAGGCAGCCAUCUGGCCUAGUACUGACGCUGAGGUACGAAAGCAUGGGGAGCAAACAGGAUUAGAUACCCCCGUAGUCCCUGUCUCUUAUAA
This 301-nucleotide ribosomal RNA is filed under the name uncultured bacterium. RNAcentral describes it as "partial 16S ribosomal RNA". It matches the Rfam family "Bacterial small subunit ribosomal RNA", at positions 509 to 809 of the family's 1533-position model. The record is from RNAcentral.